CGGUCCUAAGGUAGCGAAAUUCCUUGUCGGGUAAGUUCCGACCUGCACGAAUGGCGUAACGACUUCCCCACUGUCUCGACCAGGAGCUCGGCGAAAUUGCAGUACGAGUAAAGAUGCUCGUUAAGCGCAGAAGGACGAAAAGACCCCGGGACCUUUACUAUACCUUGGUAUUGGCAUUCGGUGUGGAUUGUGUAGCAUAGGCGGGAGGCCGAGAGGCGCGGUCGCCAGAUCGCGCGGAGCCGUAAGGUGAAAUACCGCUCUGUUCGCAUUGGAUGUCUAACCUCGAACAGUCAUCCUGUUCAGGGACAGUGCCUGGCGGGUAGUUUAACUGGGGCGGUUGCCUCCCAAAGAGUAACGGAGGCGCCCAAAGGUCCGCUCAGCCCGGUUGGCAAUCGGGUGGCGAGUGCAAGUGCACAAGCGGGCUUGACUGCGAGGACGACGGUCCGAGCAGGGACGAAAGUCGGGACUAGUGAUCCGGUGCCGGUGUACGGACGCGGCAUCGCUCAACGGAUAAAAGGUACCCCGGGGAUAACAGGCUGAUCAUUCCCAAGAGUCCAUAUCGACGGGAUGGUUUGGCACCUCGAUGUCGGCUCGUCGCAUCCUGGGGCUGGAGCAGGUCCCAAGGGUUCGGCUGUUCGCCGAUUAAAGCGGCACGCGAGCUGGGUUCAGAACGUCGUGAGACAGUUUGGUCUCUAUCCUCUGCGCUCGUUGGAAUGCUGAGGAGGCCUGCCCAUAGUACGAGAGGACCUGGGUGGACGAACCUCUGGUAUGCCGGUUGUCACGCCAGUGGCACGGCCGGUUGGCUACGUUCGGAAGGGAUAACCGCUGAAAGCAUCUAAGCGGGAAGCCUGCUCCAAGAUAAGCAUUCCGUGGAACCUUCGAGUUCCUGUAGUCCCCAUGCAGAACACGUGGUCGAUAGGCCGGACGUGGAAGCCCCGCGAGGGGUGGAGCCGACCGGUACUAACGGACGAAAGGCAACACCAA
RNAcentral lists this ribosomal RNA (984 nucleotides) under human gut metagenome. Its description in RNAcentral is "bacterial LSU rRNA". It matches the Rfam family "Bacterial large subunit ribosomal RNA", at positions 1946 to 2925 of the family's 2925-position model. The record is from RNAcentral.